AAAAAGUCGGCCAUCGGACACGAAGCUCCGCGUGUGUUGAUCUGUUCAAAUCCAUAUCUCGGAAAAGCUUGCAGCUGCAGUGGGACGAUAUCAUACCGACGACCACUGUAUAUACUGAGACGUCUAAAAACUUUGUCUUGCGAGGAGGACACUCCGGACGCAGUUGAUCGGCCUCGUGCUAUCGCCAAAUAAGGAGACUCAAUUAGGAUGUGUACACUCCGGACUCAGUGCUGUUGCCAAUUAAGGAGACUCAAAUAUGAUGAGUACACUCCAGACAUAGUGGACUAGCCCCGUGCUGUCGCUUAUUAAGGACAUUAAUUGCCGGGCGCAGUGGAUCGGGGAAGUGCUGUCGCUUAUUAAGGACAUUAAUUGCCGGGCGCAGUGCGAGUGGAUCGAGGGAUCGAGGGAUACUCAAUUAGGAUGACUCGGGUGACGCAAUGUACUGCCCCUGGAGUCUAGCUAGGAGUUGUUGAAGAUGGGGAACGUCUCUCUCUUUGGUUAUAGAUGGUCCAACCAACCCCCUAGGGUGACGUCCUCACCCUCGCGACAGAUGUCGUAUGAUUUGCAGCCCGAUUUCCAAUUUCCAAUUUCUGUAUGAUUUC
Molecule: long non-coding RNA, 602 nt
Organism: Lineus longissimus
Lineage: Eukaryota; Metazoa; Nemertea; Pilidiophora; Heteronemertea; Lineidae
Exons: 3
Source: RefSeq, a predicted model, not a curated record